AUGCGGCGGUGUCGGGGCGCGGGGCUGGCGGCGCUGGCCGCGGUGCUGCUCGUGGUUGUGGCCAGAGCUGAGGUACAGCAGGAGCCGUCACUGGAGACCACCGAGGGCAGCGGCAUCAACAUCAAUUGCUCACAUCCCAAAAUCCAGGGCACCGAUUGGAUACAGUGGUACCGUCAGCUCCCGGGCAGAGAACCCGAAUUCCUCGUGACCACUCUUAAAGGACUCAAGGAUGUGCCGGACAUCGCAGGAGAGCUGAGGGUGUCAGCGGAUCGGCGUUGGAGCGCGCUGUGGCUGCGGCGGCCCCGGCGCGGGGACGCGGCCGUGUAUUACUGCGCGCUGGGCGCACGGGCAGAGGAGCCGGGGCUGCGGCCGGCCGCCCUCGGCCCGACACCCAACUGCGGAGCCCCGCGCCUCUGCCAGCGCCUCUCGCCCUCCGCCUGCGCCUGCUGCUGCUCUCAGCCGCCUCGGCAAAGCGAACAGCUGCUCCUGCAGAGCGCCUGCCGCGCCCGCUGA
This is a non-coding RNA of Prinia subflava (tawny-flanked prinia), 513 nucleotides long. NCBI's taxonomy places the organism in Eukaryota, Metazoa, Chordata, Aves, Passeriformes, Cisticolidae. The record is from the annotation of a RefSeq genome assembly.